CCUACGGGGGGCAGCAGUGAGGAAUAUUGGUCAAUGGGCGCGAGCCUGAACCAGCCAAGUCGCGUGAGGGAAGACGGUCCUAUGGAUUGUAAACCCCUUUUGUCGGGGAGCAAAAGACGCCACGCGUGGCGUUCCGAGAGUACCCGAAGUAAAAGCAUCGGCUAACUCCGGGACAGCAGCCGCGGUAAUACGGGGGAUGCGAGCGUUAUCCGGAUCUAUUGGGUUUAAAGGGUGCGCAGGCGGAAGAUCAAGUCAGCGGUAAAAUUGAGGGGCUCAACCUCGUCGAGCCGUUGAUACUGGUUAUCUUGAGUGAGUGAGAGGUAUGCGGAAUGCGUGGUGUAGCGGUGAAAUGCAUAGAUAUCACGCAGAACUCCGAUUGCGAAGGCAGCAUACCGGCGCUCAACUGACGCUCAUGCACGAAAGUGUGGGUAUCGAACAGGAUUAGAUACCCUAGUAGUC
Molecule: ribosomal RNA, 459 nt
Filed under: uncultured bacterium
Lineage: Bacteria
Description: partial 16S ribosomal RNA
Rfam family: Bacterial small subunit ribosomal RNA
Source: RNAcentral